RNAcentral lists this ribosomal RNA (448 nucleotides) under uncultured bacterium. RNAcentral describes it as "bacterial SSU rRNA". It matches the Rfam family "Bacterial small subunit ribosomal RNA", at positions 328 to 793 of the family's 1533-position model. The record is from RNAcentral.
CACCCAGACUCCUACGGGAGGCAGCAGUGGGGAAUAUUGCACAAUGGGGGGAACCCUGAUGCAGCGAAGCCGCGUGGGUGAAGGAGUACUUCGGUACGUAAAGCCCUAUCAGCAGGAAAGAAAAUGACGGUACCUGACUAAGAAGCCCCGGCUAACUACGUGCCAGCAGCCGCGGUAAUACGUAGGGGGCAAGCGUUAUCCGGAUUCACUGGGUGUAAAGGGAGCGUAGACGGCCAUGCAAGCCUGGAGUGAAAGCCCGGGGCCCAACCCCGGGACUGCUCUGGGAACUGUGCGGCUGGAGUGCGGGAGGGGCAGGCGGAAUUCCUGGUGUAGCGGUGAAAUGCGUAGAUAUCAGGAGGAACACCGGCGGCGAAGGCGGCCUGCUGGACCGCGACUGACGUUGAGGCUCGAAAGCGUGGGGAGCAAACAGGAUUAGAUACCCCUGUAC